GAAACAGGCAGCCUAAUGAGUCUAGUUAUUUUAAGCGUCAGUACAUAUAAGUGUUCAAGCCUUAAUCUCUACAAUGACUCGUUUUUCUGUUUUGAGUUCGAUUCUUAAUUUUGUUUUCAAUAUUGAAAUAUUUAAUGCUCAAAUAUACAAUAUAGUGUAAUAGUAUAAUUAUAGUAUACAUUAUAUACAUGUUAUUUGUUGUAAAUUAAUUAACUAAAUUUAAUUAAAAACGAAAUUACAUAUUUAAUCAAAAGAAAAACUAAAACAAUUUCGAAAAUGUCAGAUGCAAGAAAUGAUAAAAUUAAAGUAGAUCUAGGUCUUUUAGAAGAGGAUGAUGAAUUUGAAGAAUUUCCUGCCGAAGAUUGGACAGCUAAAGAUGAGGACAAUGAAGAUAUCAGUGUAUGGGAAGAUAAUUGGGACGAUGAUGAUGUGGAGGAUGAUUUUAAUCAACAAUUAAGGUUUUUAUUAUUAAAAAAAUUAUAUUAAAAUGUCUGCGAGUGAUGCCGAAAGUGAAGAGGAGUUACAAUUAAUUCAUUCAGAAAUACUGGAAGUUGCGUAAACGUAAAGAUUGAUACAUUGCCAUUGAAAUAUCAGAAAAGCUAUUGGCAAACGUACAGUAAUUUUAAUAAAUAAAGGCUACAUAAAAACAUCAAGAUGUCCUCAAUUCGAUGCUAGCAUAUUUUGGCGAACUGGCUAUAAAGUAUAAGCCGUCUACACUAUUAAGUCACAAUUGGACAAACUAAUAAAAUCACAAUGUGAUUCUAUUAAAGAAAACUAGUUGUAUCUACCAUCAUGAAAAACAAAUUUUGUAAUAAAGUUCAACUAUAAAUGAAAA
Nasonia vitripennis (jewel wasp) is the source of this 835-nucleotide RNA transcript. It is a transcript of the gene named probable 26S proteasome complex subunit sem1, with no coding region annotated. The transcript has 4 exons. The record is from RefSeq and is marked provisional. NCBI's taxonomy places the organism in Eukaryota, Metazoa, Arthropoda, Insecta, Hymenoptera, Pteromalidae.